Molecule: non-coding RNA, 983 nt
Organism: Microcebus murinus (gray mouse lemur)
Lineage: Eukaryota; Metazoa; Chordata; Mammalia; Primates; Cheirogaleidae
Source: RefSeq, a predicted model, not a curated record
CUUGCUGCUUCUUGCUGGUCUCAAACUCCUGACCUCAAGCCAUCUUCCCACCUUGGCCUCUCGGAGUGACAGGAUUACAGGCACCAGGCCAAGAAAGACCUUUGAAAGGGACUCUUAAAGUCUGUUUGGACAACCUUUCCUGGAGCCUGAGGGUAGACAGAAAGGUGACCUCCCCCCACCCCAGCCUAGGAAAGGAGGCUGAACACCAAAAUGAGUUACCGGGAAGGAAUGUGCAAAUAAAAAGAUGAUCUUUGUGUUCUUUUCCAACUCUGACAGUUAAUGAUUUCUCUAGGAACAUGCCAUGAACGCAAUCGUGUUCUCCAAUAUUCAUACGUUAAAGCCCUACUACAUUAGGAUUAGAGUUCUUAUAAGAAGAGACCCAGAGAGUAUACAUGCUCACACUCUCUCCCACCCCCACCCCACCCCUAACGCUGGGCUCUGUCUCCCUCCCUUUGCCAAGGAAGGAGGCAUGGUGGCUGUCUACAAGUCAGAAGAGGACCCAAAGAAGCUGACAUUGUCAAGUCUGAUCUCAGACUUCCAGCCUCCAGAACUAGACAGGAUCUUGCUCUGUCGCCCAGGCUACAGUGCAGCGGCACCUUCAAAGCUCACUGCAACCUCGAACUCCUAGGUGUUCCAGCUGUAGGUAGAUCUUGACUAUCAGAUGAAGAAACUGAACUUAUCAACCAAAUUCAGACCCUUCAGACAAGUCCUGCACUGCUUUGCAUAUGAGGGACCCAAAUGUGUAUGACAGGUAUGCCUUCCACGGUUUGCAGUCUGAAUCAGAAGAAUCAACAUGGGCAAUAGUUAGAAAACAAAAGACGGAAGUGGAGGAGAGAGCAUGUUGACCAAGAAGUCUACAUGGAGAAGCCAGGACUCGAGUUGGGCUGUGGGAGUUGUGCAAUAAUCACAAUCAGGAAGAGAUGUGAAAAUGUUCUGAGGUCGAUAGGAGGUUUUUUUAAUUGCAUUUUUUAAAUGAAGUUUCU